AUUGAACGCUGGCGGCGUGCCUAACACAUGCAAGUCGAGCGGUAACAGGUGUAGCAAUACAUGCUGACGAGCGGCGGACGGGUGAGUAACGCUUGGGAAUCUGCCUAUUAGUGGGGGACAACCCGGGGAAACUCGGGCUAAUACCGCAUACGCUCUACGGAGGAAAGCCGGGGACCGCAAGGCCUGGCGCUAAUAGAUGAGCCCAAGUCGGAUUAGCUAGUUGGUAGGGUAAUGGCCUACCAAGGCGACGAUCCGUAACUGGUCUGAGAGGACGACCAGUCACACCGGAACUGAGACACGGUCCGGACUCCUACGGGAGGCAGCAGUGGGGAAUAUUGGACAAUGGGCGAAAGCCUGAUCCAGCGACGCCGCGUGGGUGAAGAAGGCCUGCGGGUUGUAAAGCCCUUUCAGUGGGGAAGAAAAGCCUCGACCUAACACGUCGGGGUCUUGACGUAACCCAUAGAAGAAGCACCGGCUAACUCUGUGCCAGCAGCAGCCGCCGCGGUAAU
Molecule: ribosomal RNA, 509 nt
Filed under: uncultured bacterium
Lineage: Bacteria
Description: bacterial SSU rRNA
Rfam family: Bacterial small subunit ribosomal RNA
Source: RNAcentral